GACGAACGCUGGCGGCGUGCUUAACACAUGCAAGUCGAACGGAAAGGCCCUGCUUUUGUGGGGUGCUCGAGUGGCGAACGGGUGAGUAACACGUGAGUAACCUGCCCUUGACUUUGGGAUAACUUCAGGAAACUGGGGCUAAUACCGGAUAGGAGCUCCUGCUGCAUGGUGUGGGUUGGAAAGUUUCCGCGGUUGGGGAUGGACUCGCGGCUUAUCAGCUUGUUGGUGGGGUAGUGGCUUACCAAGGCUUUGACGGGUAGCCGGCCUGAGAGGGGGACCGGCCACCUUGGGACUGAGGUACGGCCCAGACUCCUACGGGAGGCAGCAGUGGGGAAUAUUGCACAAUGGGCGGAAGCCUGAUGCAGCAACGCCGCGUGCGGGAUGACGGCCUUCGGGUUGUAAACCGCUUUCGCCUGUGACGAAGCGUGAGUGACGGUAAUGGGUAAAGAAGCACCGGCUAACUACGUG
RNAcentral lists this ribosomal RNA (468 nucleotides) under uncultured bacterium. Its description in RNAcentral is "partial 16S ribosomal RNA". It matches the Rfam family "Bacterial small subunit ribosomal RNA", at positions 28 to 507 of the family's 1533-position model. The record is from RNAcentral.